This 1341-nucleotide ribosomal RNA is filed under the name metagenome. RNAcentral's name for it is "bacterial LSU rRNA". It matches the Rfam family "Bacterial large subunit ribosomal RNA", at positions 1564 to 2910 of the family's 2925-position model. The record is from RNAcentral.
UGAGUCCGAGUCUCCACGGAGACGAAGUGGCGGUCAUUAAGCUUCCUAGAAAAGCUCUAACCACGUUAAUCUUUAGUUGCCUGUACCCGAAACCGACACAGGUAGGGGGGUAGAGAAUACCAAGGGGCGCGAGAUAACUCUCUCUAAGGAACUCGGCAAAAUGACCCCGUAACUUCGGGAGAAGGGGUACCACUGAGAAGUGGUCGCAGUGAAGAGGCCCAGGCGACUGUUUACCAAAAACACAGGUCUCCGCCAAGUCGCAAGACGAAGUAUGGGGGCUGACGCCUGCCCAGUGCCGGAAGGUUAAGGAAGUUGGUCAGGGAUUCGUCCUGAAGCUAACGACCGAAGCCCCGGUGAACGGCGGCCGUAGCUAUAACGGUCCUAAGGUAGCGAAAUUCCUUGUCGGGUAAGUUCCGACCCGCACGAAAGGCGUAACGAUCUGGGCACUGUCUCGGAGAGAGACUCGGCGAAAUAGGAAUGUCUGUGAAGAUACGGACUACCUGCACCUGGACAGAAAGACCCUAUGAAGCUUUACUGUAGCUUGGAAUUGGGUUCGGGCUUGGUUUGCGCAGGAUAGGUGGGAGGCGAAGAAGGUUUGCUUGUGGGUGAACCUGAGCCAACGGUGAGAUACCACUCUAACCAGGCUAGAAUUCUAACUCUAACCCGUCAACCGGGGAGAGGACAGUUUCAGGUGGGCAGUUUGACUGGGGCGGUCGCCUCCUAAAAGAUAACGGAGGCGCACAAAGGUUCCCUCAGGCUGGUUGGAAAUCAGCCAACGAGUGCAAAGGCAGAAGGGAGCUUGACUGCGAGACUUACGAGUCAAGCAGGGUGGAAACACGGUCUUAGUGAUCCGACGGCACCGCGUGGAAGGGCCGUCGCUCAACGGAUAAAAGUUACUCUAGGAUAACAGGCUGAUCUCCCCCAAGAGUUCACAUCGACGGGGAGGUUUGGCACCUCGAUGUCGGCUCAUCGCAACCUGGGGCGGAAGUACGUCCCAAGGGUUGGGCUGUUCGCCCAUUAAAGCGGUACGUGAGCUGGGUUCAGAACGUCGUGAGACAGUUCGGUCCAUAUCCGGUGUAGGCGCAAGAACAUUGAGAGGAGUCUUCCUUAGUACGAGAGGACCGGGAAGAACGCACCGCUGGUGUACCUGUUAUCGUGCCAACGGUAAACGCAGGGUAGCCAAGUGUGGAGUGGAUAACCGCUGAAAGCAUCUAAGUGGGAAGCCCACCUCAAGAUGAGUGUUCUCAUGGAGUCAUCCAGUAAGGUCACGGGAAGACGACCCGUUAAUAGGCAGUAGGUGGAAGUUCAGCAAUGGAUGAAGCCGAGCUGUACUAACAGACC